Molecule: ribosomal RNA, 477 nt
Filed under: uncultured bacterium
Lineage: Bacteria
Description: partial 16S ribosomal RNA
Rfam family: Bacterial small subunit ribosomal RNA
Source: RNAcentral
AUUGAACGCUGGCGGCAUGCCUUACACAUGCAAGUCGAACGGUAACAGGUUAAGCUGACGAGUGGCGAACGGGUGAGUAAUGUAUCGGAACGUGCCCAGUCGUGGGGGAUAACUUCUCGAAAGAGCAGCUAAUACCGCAUACGACCUGAGGGUGAAAGCGGGGGAUCGCAAGACCUCGCGCGAUUGGAGCGGCCGAUAUCAGAUUAGGUAGUUGGUGAGGUAAAGGCUCACCAAGCCGACGAUCUGUAGCUGGUCUGAGAGGACGACCAGCCACACUGGGACUGAGACACGGCCCAGACUCCUACGGGAGGCAGCAGUGGGGAAUUUUGGACAAUGGGCGCAAGCCUGAUCCAGCCAUGCCGCGUGCGGGAAGAAGGCCUUCGGGUUGUAAACCGCUUUUGUCAGGGAAGAAAAGGUUCUGGCUAAUACCUGGGACUCAUGACGGUACCUGAAGAAUAAGCACCGGCUAACUACGUG